GAUGAACGCUGGCGGCGUGCCUAAUACAUGCAAGUCGAGCGAACAGAUAAGGAGCUUGCUCCUUUGACGUUAGCGGCGGACGGGUGAGUAACACGUGGGUAACCUACCUAUAAGACUGGAAUAACUCCGGGAAACCGGGGCUAAUGCCGGAUAACAUUUAGAACCGCAGGGUUCUAAAGUGAAAGAUGGUUUUGCUAUCACUUAUAGAUGGACCCGCGCCGUAUUAGCUAGUUGGUAAGGUAACGGCUUACCAAGGCAACGAUACGUAGCCGACCUGAGAGGCUGAUAGGCCACCCUGGAACUGAGCCACGGUCCAGACUCCUACGGGAGGCAGCAGUAGGGAAUCUUCCGCAAUGGGCGAAAGCCUGACGGAGCAACGCCGCGUGAGUGAUGAAGGUCUUCGGAUCGUAAAACUCUGUUAUUAGGGAAGAACAAAUGUGUAAGUAACUGUGCACGUCUUGACGGUACCUAAUAAGAAAGCCACGGCUAACUACGUG
RNAcentral lists this ribosomal RNA (497 nucleotides) under uncultured bacterium. RNAcentral describes it as "partial 16S ribosomal RNA". It matches the Rfam family "Bacterial small subunit ribosomal RNA", at positions 28 to 507 of the family's 1533-position model. The record is from RNAcentral.